UCUCCUGCUGCCGAGGCACAGAGAGGCUUCUGUUCCCCAGCGCUGACAUCAGCGCCGGCCGGGACGUGAGCCACGCUGCAGCCAGGCUGGGGGAGCUGCUCCCCCUCCCCACGCCCUCUGGUGAAGGUGAAGCCCCUCUGGGUGGCUCUGAGCCCCCCUGCCCCUCACAUGUGUCAGGGAGGAAGAGUUUAAGAUGAAAGGCUCUGGAGAAAGAUUGAAAUGGUUGAAGGAGGAAAGUCUAGAGGAAAGAAAUCCAUGAACAUUGCAGUGACAAAGUGAUGGGGCGGUGAUGGAUCUUACAGAUAGCUGCUGCAGGAAGAAAAACAUCUAGCAAAGAGAAAUACUCUGAUGUCUUCAACUCCCCUAAAGCACAAAAGCAUUUAGGCAGCCAAAACUUGCAGGUGAGAACCUGUGGGUCUGAACUUAGGGGAGGAGGAGCAGCUGGCCAAGCAAGGCAUUGGCAGCUGGCCCUGGGAAGGGGGGUAGCACCACUGCGAGCUAAAGCUGGAUGCUCACAGCUAGUUUAGGAUCCAGCUGUAAUUUUAACAGCUGGUUCUGUCAAGCUGCCUUCAGCAUAGCUCUGAUCCAAGCUUCUAUAAUUAGCCAAGGAGCAGCAGCUCUCGUGCAAGGAGAAAGGCAGGAGCGAUGCUCAAUGCAGGGGAAGCAGAGCAGCGUGGGUGGGAGCCUUGCUGAGAGGGGUAAGGGCUGU
This is a long non-coding RNA of Cyanistes caeruleus (blue tit), 709 nucleotides long. RefSeq lists it as uncharacterized. Lineage: Eukaryota; Metazoa; Chordata; Aves; Passeriformes; Paridae. The record is from RefSeq and is a predicted model, not a curated record.